GGGCGUAGGGGUGGAGGUGGUCCACCAUAAUAGCAAGGCCCCCCACCAACGCCAUGAUAGCAUUCCGUGCAACAGCAUCCGAUGGGGGGAUAAGCCAUUGGUGGUGGAGGACAAGGUUCUGGAACCUUUGGUGGUGGUGGUGGUGGUGGUUCUUUUGGUUUCUCAGGUUCCUUAGGCUUUUCGGGUUCUUUCGGCUUUUCGGGUUGUUUCGGUUUCUCGGGUUCUUUGGGUUUUUCGGGUUCUUUCGGCUUUUCGGGUUGUUUAGGUUUCUCGGGUUCUUUGGGUUUUUCGGGUUCUUUUGGUUUUUCUGGUGCUUUAGGCUUUUCGGGUUCUUUUGGUUUUUCUGGUACUUUAGGCUUCUCAGGUUCUUUGGGUUUUUCAGGUUCUUUGGGCUUUUCGGGUUCUUUAGGCUUCUCAGGCUCCUUGGGUUUGGGAGGAGGAGGUGGAGGUUUGAUCUCAAUGCUCUUGAUUGAUCCAGCACCCUUGCAACAUAUCUUGUCCCUCAGCUUCUCAGGAUUGCAGCAUACCACGGUAAUGGUCACGGUGUUGGUUUUCUCAUCGUAUAUCUGGUCUCGUAUUUCUCUUGUUCGCAAAAACCCAUCAUCAAAAAAUUAUCAACUUAAACCAGUUCACACUUCACUGUCUUCAG
This 649-nucleotide long non-coding RNA is filed under the name Gossypium barbadense (sea-island cotton). RNAcentral's name for it is "long non-coding RNA (GBAR_LNC005695)". The record is from RNAcentral. Lineage: Eukaryota; Viridiplantae; Streptophyta; Magnoliopsida; Malvales; Malvaceae.